This 305-nucleotide unclassified non-coding RNA is filed under the name plant metagenome. RNAcentral's name for it is "partial contains 5.8S ribosomal RNA, internal transcribed spacer 2, and large subunit ribosomal RNA". The stretch from base 1 to 105 matches the Rfam family "5.8S ribosomal RNA", at positions 50 to 154 of the family's 154-position model. The record is from RNAcentral.
GAAAUGCGAUAAGUAGUGUGAAUUGCAGAAUUCAGUGAAUCAUCGAAUCUUUGAACGCACAUUGCGCCCCUUGGUAUUCCAUGGGGCAUGCCUGUUCGAGCGUCAUCUACACCCUCAAGCUCUGCUUGGUGUUGGGCGUCUGUCCCGCCCCCGCGCGUGGACUCACCCCAAAUCCAUUGGCAGCGUUCCUUGCCCCCUCUCGCGCAGCACAUUGCGCUUCUCGAGGGCGGCUCCGGGACGCGAUCCAGCAAGAUGACCACCGUCUUUGACCUCGGAUCAGGUAGGGAUACCCGCUGAACUUAAGC